UUUUAAUUCAUUUAAGGGGUAUAGCCAGUCGGCUAUACGUUUUAAUAUUUUAAUAUAUUUAUAGAGUAUAGCCGCCCGGCUAUACUGUUUAAUAUUUAAUAUA
This 103-nucleotide microRNA precursor is filed under the name Prunus dulcis (almond). Its description in RNAcentral is "sRNA ncRNA". Lineage: Eukaryota; Viridiplantae; Streptophyta; Magnoliopsida; Rosales; Rosaceae. The record is from RNAcentral.